GCAACCAGGUGCCUUAAUUGAGUCUCUAGCUCCAGUUAACCCUUGUCGAGCUAGUGUAGGAUACAUAUCCCAUCAGUUCCCUGCAGAAAUAAAGUGACUCAGUAUAAGAUGGCCUGAGAGAUACAUUAUACAAGAUAACACAAGGAGCCUUUACCACAGUAACAUGCCAGCCUUACCUUAGUAAUUUAUCAAAUAAAAAUCUGGAACAAUUAAUGCAGGAUUCAAGGAACUGGCAGUGAACCAUUUCCCACAAAGAAAGGCAAAAUCAUAGGAAUUCCAAGAUAGCAUAUUGGUUAAACCAAAAAGGGAAGAAAGAGUCCCUCUUGCAAGCUCAUCUACUUUAUAUCUGGAAUCUGCUCACCUGGUAUUCAAUAUAACUCUCCAUUUAUGCUGCAACUACAACAAAUGCUACAGUAGCUGUUCCAUACUGUGAAUGCCUUUUAGGAACCUGCGUUUGAUGAGCUCUGAGCUGGCUGUAGUGAUGCUCUGAGGAUCUACUGCAGCAUAUGGUGGACAAAAGGUUCUCAAUCUCUUCUGAGAUCCAAGUGUGCUUCACUGCAGGUGACUGAACAACGAGACUCCUUUUUUGAUUCAUUCUCAGUUAGAAAUGAGCAUCUGGGGACUAGCUUGAUGGUGGAAGAUGGCAAGGCAGGUGUAAACACUAGAGCUAGAAGGCUAAAAGAAUGAAACUCUCCACUCCCUAUUUAGAGGAAAAGGCAGCUCUUGCUGUGGGAAUGAGAUUUGAAUUGAACAAGGGGCGGGAGUUCUGUCCUAGAGACCAGAAAUCCUAUCCCAGGGAGCAGAGAUUCUGUCCAAAAGUCCUGUUCCCCACCCAGAUAUUCUGAACCUUGUGUGAGUGUUUCUGCAGGACUGGACCAGGACCAGGCUGAACUAGUGGCAGGAAAAAUGCAGAGCUAACUUCACAGCAAUGGUUGACUGGACUAAUGGUAGCAAAUCUGAUGUCACAGAACCAGACCGGGUAGAUGCACAUUGGGUGUAACCUGAUGGUGUGGCCUGCAUUAGACUGCAGCAGACCAG
Mauremys reevesii (Reeves's turtle) is the source of this 1038-nucleotide long non-coding RNA. RefSeq lists it as uncharacterized. The record is from RefSeq and is a predicted model, not a curated record. NCBI's taxonomy places the organism in Eukaryota, Metazoa, Chordata, Testudines, Geoemydidae. The transcript has 3 exons.